GCAUCGAUGGGGUAUUGGCAACCCACAGCUCGUCCAUAAUGCCAGGAGAUUCGAUAGGAAAGCUGGGAUCGGGGUUCGACUCCCCGCCGAUGCA
Molecule: non-coding RNA, 94 nt
Organism: Mycena epipterygia
Lineage: Eukaryota; Fungi; Basidiomycota; Agaricomycetes; Agaricales; Mycenaceae
Source: the annotation of a GenBank genome assembly